Molecule: non-coding RNA, 170 nt
Organism: Sodalis glossinidius str. 'morsitans'
Lineage: Bacteria; Pseudomonadati; Pseudomonadota; Gammaproteobacteria; Enterobacterales; Bruguierivoracaceae
Source: Rfam
GCAAGGGUGACUGAGCGUGGGGAGGAAGUGUGGAGCGAAAUGCGAGCCGAUGAACAAGAAUCGGAUAGAAGGCGCUGGCGAGCAGGGUGAGCGGGCGAGAAACCGUGAAACUCUUGUGGUCAAGGCGAGGUGGCGUAGUUCCGGCGGUUGUGCAGUGAAGGAGUGCGUUC